RNAcentral lists this long non-coding RNA (1008 nucleotides) under Monodelphis domestica (gray short-tailed opossum). Its description in RNAcentral is "lncRNA (ENSMODG00000045540.1)". The record is from RNAcentral. Lineage: Eukaryota; Metazoa; Chordata; Mammalia; Didelphimorphia; Didelphidae.
AUGGAUGGAGAUAUCUAUAAAUACAUACAUUUAUAAAUAUAUACUAUAGAUAUGUGUUUCUUAGUUUCUAGUUUUAAACUCUUUACUCCUAGCCCUCGAUAUUUCAAUCAAUAAUUCUGAGAGAAAAAGAAAUUUGGAAUACAACGUACAAAUAAUUACCCUUGGUUUCCAUGUUCCAUUCUUGAAAAUCCUUGGUGAAUCUGCCUGUUAUCCAACCACACAGUGUGUGAAAGAAUAAAACCAGUCUGGACCACUUCCUUCAUAGUAAGGCCCCAAACACAAAAACUUUCAGGGAUGGGCCCCAACCUCUGUUGUGGUGUCACCAUGAUGUCACCUCAAGUUUUUGUAACCAAGGUGAUUGCAUAUUUGUGCAUUUUGGGCUACUAGUUAGGGACCCCAGGGGCCUAUGACAAUUAAAAGAUACCUAUUACAUUAUAGAAUUAGAGAAUCUAGAAGGUACAACAUAAGACAUGACCCUGUAAAGUCACUGAUCCUCUUCAAAAUGAAGGAUGAACAUGAUCAUUUUUGCCUGAAUCUUUCUAAUGGGAAGAUACUAACCCUCAUGAGGCAGCCCUUUCCAUUUCCAUUUUUGAUCUGAAAAAAAGUACCCAUAACAAGAGGUAGUUCUGGGAAAAUGGGUUAAUGUGUCUGAGUCUAUAAUCUUCACACCUAAAGUCCACAUGGAUAUCUUGAAAAUAACCUCUGUAUCUUCAAAGUUGUGUCAUCACCAUCACAGAUUUCCUCUGCAUGUACACGGUCUGGUUCCUGUUUUCAUUUCUUUAAUGCUCUUUCCACUUCCUCAUACAGCAAAUCUGAGGAUCAAAGUAUUAAAGUCCAGAUGUGGUUGUUCCAUUUUCAUCUGUUCCAUUUUAUAUAUAUUGUCCUUUUACUUUCUUGUGUAAAUGCUCUUGAGAUUAUUUUUAUUAGCUGAGUUUAUGCCAAGCUUUCUGCAGAUCUACUUUUAAUAAUCUUUUAUCAGUUUCCUCUGUAACAUUUUGAAAAUGAGUU